CGUCACGGUCAUAUUCAGAAAUAAGCACAGGAAACCGCCAGAUCUAAGAAGCUAAACUUCUUCAAGCUAAAUGAGUUUUUCUAUGAGAGAUCAUUGGGAAAGUUUGGUGUCGUGAUUU
Molecule: ribosomal RNA, 118 nt
Filed under: Edhazardia aedis USNM 41457
Lineage: Eukaryota; Fungi; Microsporidia; Culicosporidae
Source: RNAcentral